This 253-nucleotide ribosomal RNA is filed under the name uncultured bacterium. Its description in RNAcentral is "partial 16S ribosomal RNA". It matches the Rfam family "Bacterial small subunit ribosomal RNA", at positions 524 to 776 of the family's 1533-position model. The record is from RNAcentral.
UACGUAGGUGGCAAGCGUUAUCCGGAAUUAUUGGGCGUAAAGCGCGCGCAGGCGGUUUCUUAAGUCUGGUGUGAAAGCCCACGGCUCAACCGUGGAGGGUCAUUGGAAACUGGGGAACUUGAGUGCAGAAGAGAAAAGCGGAAUUCCACGUGUAGCGGUGAAAUGCGUAGAGAUGUGGAGGAACACCAGUGGCGAAGGCGGCUUUUUGGUCUGUAACUGACGCUGAGGCGCGAAAGCGUGGGGAGCAAACAGG